GAUGAAGAACGCAGCGAAAUGCGAUAAGUAAUGUGAAUUGCAGAAUUCAGUGAAUCAUCGAAUCUUUGAACGCACAUUGCGCCCUCUGGUAUUCCGGGGGGCAUGCCUGUUCGAGCGUCAUUAUAACCACUCAAGCUCUCGCUUGGUAUUGGGGUUCGCGGUUCCGCGGCCCCUAAAAUCAGUGGCGGUGCCUGUCGGCUCUACGCGUAGUAAUACUCCUCGCGAUUGAGUCCGGUAGGUCUUCUUGCCAGCAACCCCCAAUUUUUACAGGUUGACCUCGGAUCAGGUAGGGAUACCCGCUGAACUUAAGCAUAUCAAUAAGCGGAGGA
Molecule: unclassified non-coding RNA, 329 nt
Filed under: soil metagenome
Description: partial contains 5.8S ribosomal RNA, internal transcribed spacer 2, and large subunit ribosomal RNA
Rfam family: 5.8S ribosomal RNA (bases 1-120)
Source: RNAcentral